This 30-nucleotide non-coding RNA is filed under the name Rattus norvegicus (Norway rat). Lineage: Eukaryota; Metazoa; Chordata; Mammalia; Rodentia; Muridae. The record is from RNAcentral.
UGUCAGUUGUCCUGCUGAUUUCCCCUUGGG